This 449-nucleotide ribosomal RNA is filed under the name uncultured bacterium. RNAcentral describes it as "bacterial SSU rRNA". It matches the Rfam family "Bacterial small subunit ribosomal RNA", at positions 329 to 794 of the family's 1533-position model. The record is from RNAcentral.
AUCCAGACUCCUACGGGAGGCAGCAGUGGGGAAUAUUGGGCAAUGGAGGCAACUCUGACCCAGCAACGCCGCGUGAGCGAUGAAGGUCUUCGGAUUGUAAAGCUCUGUCGCAGGGGACGAAGUAUGACGGUACCCUGUAAGAAAGCCCCGGCUAACUACGUGCCAGCAGCCGCGGUAAUACGUAGGGGGCAAGCGUUAUCCGGAUUCACUGGGUGUAAAGGGAGCGUAGACGGCCAUGCAAGCCUGGAGUGAAAGCCCGGGGCCCAACCCCGGGACUGCUCUGGGAACUGUGCGGCUGGAGUGCGGGAGGGGCAGGCGGAAUUCCUGGUGUAGCGGUGAAAUGCGUAGAUAUCAGGAGGAACACCGGCGGCGAAGGCGGCCUGCUGGACCGCGACUGACGUUGAGGCUCGAAAGCGUGGGGAGCAAACAGGAUUAGAUACCCUGGUAAC